RNAcentral lists this ribosomal RNA (466 nucleotides) under uncultured bacterium. RNAcentral describes it as "partial 16S ribosomal RNA". It matches the Rfam family "Bacterial small subunit ribosomal RNA", at positions 28 to 507 of the family's 1533-position model. The record is from RNAcentral.
GACGAACGCUGGCGGCGCGCCUAACACAUGCAAGUCGAACGAGCGAGCGAGAGCUUGCUUUCUUGAGCGAGUGGCGAACGGGUGAGUAACGCGUGAGGAACCUGCCUCAAAGAGGGGGACAACAGUUGGAAACGACUGCUAAUACCGCAUAAGCCCACGGUGCCGCAUGGCACAGAGGGAAAAGGAGCAAUCCGCUUUGAGAUGGCCUCGCGUCCGAUUAGCUAGUUGGUGAGGUAACGGCCCACCAAGGCGACGAUCGGUAGCCGGACUGAGAGGUUGAACGGCCACAUUGGGACUGAGACACGGCCCAGACUCCUACGGGAGGCAGCAGUGGGGAAUAUUGCACAAUGGGGGAAACCCUGAUGCAGCGACGCCGCGUGGAGGAAGAAAGUCUUCGGAUUGUAAACUCCUGUUGUUGGGGAAGAUAAUGACGGUACCCAACAAGGAAGUGACGGCUAACUACGUG